Molecule: long non-coding RNA, 339 nt
Organism: Mya arenaria
Lineage: Eukaryota; Metazoa; Mollusca; Bivalvia; Myida; Myidae
Exons: 3
Source: RefSeq, a predicted model, not a curated record
CUGGUUCUUAUCCCGCAAACACACCAUGUACAGUACCUAUUAAGUAUUAAUAAAAAUGAUGUAAAUAUAAUGUUAUUCUAAAUAACCUACUAAAAUUUCAGGAUUUCCGAAUGUCAUUGGUUUGAUAGACGGUACUCAAGUACGUGUACGAGCCCCUCAUGAGUUUGAAGCCGAUUAUGUAAACAGGAAAGGGUAUCAUUCGAUCAAUGUGCAGAUGGUUUGUGAUGCAAAGCUUCGUUUUAUGAAUGUUGUUGCCAAGUGGCCAGGAAGUGUCCACGACUCCAGAAUAUUCAAAGAGUCACGCCUUGCUUCAGAAUUAGAGCAAGGCCAACAUAAUGG